UACGUAGGUGGCGAGCGUUGUCCGGAUUUACUGGGCGUAAAGAGCGCGCAGGCGGCUGGUCAAGUCCGAUGUGAAAGCUCCCGGCUUAACUGGGAAAUUGCAUCGGAAACUGAUCGGCUGGAAGGUGGGAGAGGGUAGCGGAAUUCCCGGUGUAGUGGUGAAAUGCGCAGAUAUCGGGAGGAACACCAGUAGCGAAGGCGGCACUCUGGGCCGGUACUGACGCUGAGGAGCGAAAGCGUGGGGAGCAAACAGG
This 253-nucleotide ribosomal RNA is filed under the name uncultured bacterium. RNAcentral's name for it is "partial 16S ribosomal RNA". It matches the Rfam family "Bacterial small subunit ribosomal RNA", at positions 524 to 776 of the family's 1533-position model. The record is from RNAcentral.